Pleuronectes platessa (European plaice) is the source of this 1984-nucleotide long non-coding RNA. RefSeq lists it as uncharacterized. NCBI's taxonomy places the organism in Eukaryota, Metazoa, Chordata, Actinopteri, Pleuronectiformes, Pleuronectidae. The transcript has 2 exons. The record is from RefSeq and is a predicted model, not a curated record.
CUCUAGGCAACCGCCUUUGUCGCCUAUAGGAAGGACUGGCCCUGCCUGGAGGGGUAUAGUCUGGCCUAGGCUAUUUUACAUCCCCAGAUUUAACACUGCACUGACACUUUCAUUAUCUUGGCGUAGGACAACACAAUGGUGAUGCUCAUGAUCGGGAAGUAAAGUUGACCAAUGGCAGACCUGACAUGACCCUGCCACAUGUGAAAAGAUGAACAGCCCCUCAGAGGAAACCCUGUGUUGUUUGUAGAAGCUCAGAGAUGCUGAUGUUGACGGUGAGAGAAUAAAGCAGUGCAAGGAGCUGAGGCCUUGAAUGAGGAAGAGGAAGUGCAUUGGUGAUGAAGAGUAAUAGGUGUGACCAGAAUGUACACAGAUGAAAACAUGUAGAAAUUAUACACAAUCAGAUUUGUGAAUAGCAAAAUCUUGAUGGAGGAAAAGUGCGAUGAAAACCUGAACUAAAAUGAGACUGUAAUUAAUGCCUCACUCCGUCAAAGUUCUUUUUAGCCUUAAAUGUCUUAUUUGUAACCACAUAAAAAUUUACAAGGAUCAAAACAAAAAAACAAUAAACAUCAGAAGUAUAUGACAAACAAUGUAAGUUAAAUAAAUGUGACAAAAAUAUAUCUAUAUAAGAGGUUUCAUUUAACCAAACAAUCCCUGAAGUAACAUGGCAUUCAAAGUUGCCACGACCACAAGGGGACGAUAAAAUUAAUAAAUAAAAAAAUAAAAGUUUAACCACCAGAGUUGUCAUCACCAGUCACUGCCAACAUUGAUUUGCCAUAGUUACAAUGUGAUGUGCUUGAAAGAGACUUUGUGUCCAAAGUAGUUGGGCUUCAAUAUUACAAAGCUCUUGGAAGAUUAGAAGCCUUAUUGAUAAAUAUAUUCUUUGUAUCUUGAGUUGUCUCUGCUUUGCAUUUAAAAUAGUUUUUUACAUUUGGACAAUGCUCAUUGGAUAUUCAUUGUUAUGUGUCAUGUACAAUAAAUGGCCGCUGUUCGGAGGGGAGCCGCCUACUUCCUCAGUUGAGAUGUUUAUCUCAAACAGAUCAAGUUAAAAAAACUGAAUUAAUAAUGUCUCCCAUGUACAUUCUGUCCUUCAACGACUGCUGGAGAACCGGCUCAUUGUGAAGGCUGAGAAGUGCGAGUUUCAUCAAAAAACAGUCACCUUUCUGGGAUUUGCAAAAGGUUGAAACAGUCCUGGAGUGGCCCCCUCCUUCAACCAGCAAGGAGCUUCAAAGCUUCCUCGGAUUUGCGAACUUUUAUCGACGCUUCAUCCGGGAUUACGGUUCACUGGCGGCUCCCCUCACAGCCCUGACUUCAAAGGCUGUUAAGUUCCUCUGGUCCUCUGCUGCGGAGGGAGAGUUUUCAAGCCCUAAAGCAGAGCUUCACCUCAGCCCCCAUCCUGAUCCAACCUGACCCAGUAGACAAUUCAUCGUGGAGGCUGAUGCCUCCACGGUGUUUUUUGCAACUUGGUCUGCGAUUGGGUCCUUAAUCUGAGAAAGCCUAACAGAAAGCCUAACACCUUUUCCCUUUCCCUCAGAUCGGUAACAUAAUCUGGGCUUAAUGAUUAUACUAAACUAAGCAAGACUUUAUUUGAUUCUGUGUGGUGUUUAUAAGUUUGAUAUGUGUUGGGAUAUUGUGUUUAUAAGUUAUUUGAAAGUUAAAUAUUAGUUAUGUUCGUCACAGGAUCUCUCUGACCCUUUCAGUCUUUGAUUAACAUUUACACAGAAACACUCAUGUCUCUACACCUAGUUAUCUCCUCCUCCACUGCAGAAGAAGGGGGGAGGGCUGUCAACUUUAGGGGGGGUUAGCGACCAUUUUGAAAGCAUGCUGAGGAAGAUGUGAACAUUUGGUGAAACACCAUUUUGAGAAACCACCUUAUUUACAUAGACAUCCACACUCACAUACCUAUCUUUGUUAAGCUAGUAAGAUUGUUGGUAAUUUGUGUUUUUAUACUUUAUUAUAUUCAUAAUAAAUGUUUUUCUUUCACAAA